UAAAUACUCCCUCCGUCCCGAAUUACUUGUCACAAAAAUAAAACAAAUGGAUGUAUCUAGAACUAAAAUACAUCUAGAUACAUCCAUUCCUACGACAAGCAUUUCCGGACGGAGGGAGUAUAAG
Molecule: non-coding RNA, 124 nt
Organism: Hordeum vulgare subsp. vulgare (domesticated barley)
Lineage: Eukaryota; Viridiplantae; Streptophyta; Magnoliopsida; Poales; Poaceae
Source: Rfam